RNAcentral lists this ribosomal RNA (537 nucleotides) under uncultured bacterium. RNAcentral describes it as "bacterial SSU rRNA". It matches the Rfam family "Bacterial small subunit ribosomal RNA", at positions 777 to 1298 of the family's 1533-position model. The record is from RNAcentral.
AAUAGAUACCCUGGUAGUCCACGCCGUAAACGAUGAGUGCUAAGUGUUAGAGGGUUUCCGCCCUUUAGUGCUGCAGCAAACGCAUUAAGCACUCCGCCUGGGGAGUACGGCCGCAAGGCUGAAACGUCAAAGGAAUUGACGGGGACCCGCACAAGCGGUGGAGCAUGUGGUUUAAUUCGAAGCAACGCGAAGAACCUUACCAGGUCUUGACAUCCUCUGACAAUCCUAGAGAUAGGACGUUCCCCUUCGGGGGACAGAGUGACAGGUGGUGCAUGGUUGUCGUCAGCUCGUGUCGUGAGAUGUUGGGUUAAGUCCCGCAACGAGCGCAACCCUUGAUCUUAGUUGCCAGCAUUCAGUUGGGCACUCUAAGGUGACUGCCGGUGACAAACCGGAGGAAGGUGGGGAUGACGUCAAACUCAUCAUCGUCCCCUUAUCGACCGUGGGCUACACACGUGCUAACAAGUGGAUGGUAACGAAGGGCUGACAAACUGUAGAAGUCGAGCGAACUCCCAAUAAACCUAUUCUCUAGGUUCGGUA